Long non-coding RNA from Phasianus colchicus (ring-necked pheasant), 672 nucleotides. RefSeq lists it as uncharacterized. NCBI's taxonomy places the organism in Eukaryota, Metazoa, Chordata, Aves, Galliformes, Phasianidae. The record is from RefSeq and is a predicted model, not a curated record.
GGGGGAAGGUUUUCUUUCUGGAGGUCCUUCCUUUUGGAGUUUUCUACUGUGAGCCUAGGACACAGACAGUGGUCUGACAGGUGACCAUGCUCAUCAGGAGGGAGCACCAAUGACUUGCAAGCUGCUUGAUGGAGCCAGAACUGUGACUUAAUUGUCUUGCUGUAGACAAUAAGCUCAUCUUGAGUCCCCAGAAGCUGAAGUUACCAACAAAUAAAAUGCCUUCUUGAACUCAAAAUAUAGGAAAAAAAAAGUCCUCAAAAUGCUUCUGUGUCCUCUGGAGGUCAUGCUUUGUAGAACAACCCCUUCAUUCCAUUUCAGUACCUAUGAGGAGUAUUUGCUCUCAGCACCCAUCCAGACCCUGUACACCCAGCUGGGGUUUCAGAGCUGGUUACCAGUGAUCUACAUGCAGAGGCAGGCAUCUUUUGGGGCUGUGGCUGCAUGGCUUUGCAAGCCCUGCUGGUUAGACUUGCAGCCGGAAACACUCCUGUAUCCAGAUAAAGCAGACACACCUGAAACAUCCUGCUUCAUGAGAAGCCCAAACUAACACAAAGAGGUGUCAGAAGAGUGAUACAGAAUACCAAAACUAGAUGGUGGAAUGUGAGUGGCUCUAAAGCCAUCUAUGUGUGAAGCCAAGUCUAUUCUCUCAUGUGGAUUUAGUCCCCACAAAUAACU